CCCCUCCUCCAUCAGAGCUGUGGGAGGCUAGGGGCCACCCUCUGCAGAAUCAGCCCAGUGUUCCAGACUGGUGAUUGGCCAGAAGAGACUGAAGUCAUAUACCGGUUACAGCAGGGAGACCCAAGGUACAGCCAGAGCUCCUCUUUGGAGAUACUGAGCUGAAAGUGGUCACUGAUUGCUGCUAUCUCGGAAAUGUGCUGACAACUGAGGCUCUGCUAAGAAAAAGAAGUAGAAAUCUAUCAAGACGGCCAGGAAGUCUGUUGGCAAAAAGGUUAGCAAGCUGGAUAUGCACGGGUAAACCUGCAACAGAAGGGCAGAUGGAGAGGAAACAAUGCCUGCACAUCCAGUUCAGCCAGAAUGACUCAGAAAGAUGGACCUUAGCCCCUUUCCAUGAAAACAUAAUUGUUGCACCACAACCUUACGUAGAAUUUUAAAAGCACUUGGGGAUCAGUUUUCAAGAUGACUUAAAGAUGUGAAGAUUCCAGAAGAAUGGAAAACAUCAUGGGUGGAAUGAGGACUAUUCUUUAUUUUCAUAUUUUCCAUGGAUUCUCCUGGGGAUUCAUCAUCUAGUUUCCAGCCUCCUGGCAGUGACCCUCUCCAUAUUUAUUGAAGCUGGACCACACACACCACAGUCUUUCACUCAAACUUGUAGUCAAAGUAUUCCAACUUUAUAGAACUUUUUUGAGUUUAUGUUCCUCAGGAAUAGUCUUUGAGAAUCCAGGUUCCCAUCUAUGGAGGCAAAUAACUUUAAUACAGACUAUUAUAUGAUAAGUGCAUAAAACAUGCACAAACAAAACAUGACAUGAAUUUGAGGCAGCUAGGUGGUACAGUAGUUAAAGUGUUAGCCCUGGAGUCAGGGAG
Phascolarctos cinereus (koala) is the source of this 861-nucleotide non-coding RNA. NCBI's taxonomy places the organism in Eukaryota, Metazoa, Chordata, Mammalia, Diprotodontia, Phascolarctidae. The record is from RefSeq and is a predicted model, not a curated record.